This 1270-nucleotide long non-coding RNA is filed under the name Capra hircus (goat). RNAcentral's name for it is "lncRNA (ENSCHIG00010014422.1)". Lineage: Eukaryota; Metazoa; Chordata; Mammalia; Artiodactyla; Bovidae. The record is from RNAcentral.
GGUAGAAAUAAACAAAGGAAACUAAGAAGGGAUGUCAGGGCCACUCGUUACUGUGGACCUGGAGAAUCUUUCUUAGUGACAGAGGCACUGAAAUCCAGCUGAAAUAUUUCAGCAAGAUCCUGUUCAGACUUGUGAGGGGACUCAAGGUCACUCCCCGAUGAGGAAAUAGGACAGAGACCUUGUUGGCUCUUCCAGGCUCUCUUGACCACGUCAGGGGGCGGGGAGCUUGCUUUAACAAUGAGGCCAUGUUGACAGACUGCUUGAGGAUCCCUAGAGAAAGGUGUGUGGUCUGCCCAGGGGAGGAGCAGCCUCUUCUCCUCUGGGAAGAAUAAAAAUCCCAGAACCUAUUUACUGUUUAACUGAGGAUGCUCCAGUGGGACACGCAGCCUGCAACUGGGUGGCUGCCUCUGGUCGAAUCCCUCUCCGUGUGGGAUUUCGACCAUCGCAUUUUACGCCCUCUCUUUCUUCCCCCACAGAUUUUACAAGUGAGAAGUUGACGUGCGAGUUCCAGUGUGGUUCAUCUACCUGCUUCCCUUCCCCCUCAGAAAACACACACACACACACCCCUUGAAAAGAAAUCAUGUCAGGUGAACUUGGGCUAUUGUGUUUCUUAGGUAAGGCUUUUAGAUAAAAAGCCUGCUUACAGUGGCUCCCAGCCCAGAGGCCGUUUGCACAGAUUUUAUUACACAAAGGCAGAAUUCAGGUAGGCCUCCCAACAAGGGCAUAUUGUAUCAUUGUCGCUUUGUCGGGAGGCCUGUUAAUGGUUUACACACUCUGUCCUCCAGUUUAAACAUAUACUUCGUGUUCAGCAGGAGCAACCUGAGGACUCACCUCACUAAGGGAGGCUUUGCACUCCUAAUACCUGGGGGUGCAGAGCCUCCCUCCCCCUCCCCGCGGCUCUCCUCAGUCAUCUAGUGUCUGUUCCCUCCCCCUGGAACUGCUGCUGCCUUCCCAUGUGACUCCACACCCUCAGGCCCUCGGGGCUUGUGUCCAGCCAGCAUCACGAGGCCUGAGAGGUGGGGCAGUGGGCACCUCGGGCCUGACAGGGCAGAGCAGCACCUCUCCCACCCCCUAAAAGAAGUAACUGCUUCAGCGCCCGCUGGGUGACUUUCUUCCUCUCUGAGAACUGCGCUGGACCACUGUGUGUUCUCUCAGAUCACCGAGUAAAGCAACCGGAUCAUUAAACAAGGCAACUCAGCGUGCAGGGUCGUGUGUCUGUCUGGCCCUUUUUAGAAUUAUUCCUGUUACUCCUCACAAGGACCCUAGGAGG